AGCGACUGACUUCACAUCGUUGACCGACUCCAUGACGUUCAUCUCACACAUCAGCUUCUUGGUCUGCCAGUCCACACAGGCCACGUGGCCCCUCCUCCCUCCCAGCAGAAGGUGACUGAAAGACAACACACACACACAUAUAUAUGCAUGUAUUGUCUGUGUGUGUGUACGUGUGUGUUCCUGUCAUCAGAGACACGGACGCUCAGGUAAGGUCGCCAAGUUAAAAUACUAAAGAGCGAACUGCCACUGGGGGGCAGCGCCUCACUCUGACCAGGAAUCAAACUCCCCAGCCCGGUUGAGCAGGUCCAGCUGCCCCGCGAGGUUUUGGUUUUGAUAAAAACAAAAAACAAGUGUGUGAUCUGCAGCUGACUGAUGUCAAGAACGAACAUCUGCAUUCCUGUCUGAUGACAUCAUCACUGGAGUUACUGAACUGUAACAGAGCGGUAACUGAAACCGUGACCUGACCUCUGACCUCCACUGGACCUCUGUGUGAAGGUCACUAAGACAAAACUUCAUAUAAAACUGGAACAAAAAUGUGUUAAUGAUUUAACAUGACGUCAUCACACUGAGACCACGGGCUAACACCACGGAGGUGUUAUCCUGCCCCCAAGUGGCCAAAAAACAAAGACAGUUCUAUUUGAAAACUACUCCCUGAGUUCUAGUUCUGCACAAUAUUAGAAAAA
Molecule: long non-coding RNA, 683 nt
Organism: Cynoglossus semilaevis (tongue sole)
Lineage: Eukaryota; Metazoa; Chordata; Actinopteri; Pleuronectiformes; Cynoglossidae
Exons: 2
Source: RefSeq, a predicted model, not a curated record